Long non-coding RNA from Herpailurus yagouaroundi (jaguarundi), 309 nucleotides. RefSeq lists it as uncharacterized. The record is from RefSeq and is a predicted model, not a curated record. Lineage: Eukaryota; Metazoa; Chordata; Mammalia; Carnivora; Felidae. The transcript has 2 exons.
AUCUAAAUUUGGGAGAGUCAUGGUUCAGUCCAUAGCACCAUACCGAAUAACAACUAUGGAAUUUUUUCCAUUUUGUGUCACCAGAUUUUUAAUUAAUGCCUAUGCUUCAUCCUGGUUAUAUGUACUUUAGUGAACUGGCAGAAUAUGUGUAUAGAUGUCAUCCUUGCAGUAGGAAACAUUCUGCCCUGGCCAUCAGAAAGUGUUUUCCUGGAAUGUGCUGUUCCUCUUUUGCUGCCAACUCUAAUGUUGAAGGUCAGAGGGUAACAGAUGAAAUCUAGAGAAUGCAAUCAACCAAUUCCCAACUUCUAA